AGACAUUCAGUUGCCAUGGAGGGAAAGCUUUUUAAAGACCACAGAUUUUGUUGUUUCAGAGAAGUGGAAAAGGAAGAAGAAUGAUUCUGAAAUCAUCUGAAGGGUUACUUUCUCCCCAGAGAGCAACUCCACGGCACAAAGUAGGGAUCUGGGAUGCUACUGGAUAUAGAGUGGCUCUCUGAGAGACCAUCACCUCUAUUACCGGGCAGGGGUGAAUUUGGAGAUUUGUAGGGCCAUGACUUUCAGUAGAUUUAGGGGAAAAUGAAAA
Ornithorhynchus anatinus (platypus) is the source of this 268-nucleotide long non-coding RNA. RefSeq lists it as uncharacterized. The record is from RefSeq and is a predicted model, not a curated record. NCBI's taxonomy places the organism in Eukaryota, Metazoa, Chordata, Mammalia, Monotremata, Ornithorhynchidae. The transcript has 2 exons.